This 233-nucleotide ribosomal RNA is filed under the name uncultured bacterium. RNAcentral's name for it is "partial 16S ribosomal RNA". It matches the Rfam family "Bacterial small subunit ribosomal RNA", at positions 100 to 334 of the family's 1533-position model. The record is from RNAcentral.
CGGGACGGGUGAGUAAUGUCUGGGAAACUGCCUGAUGGAGGGGGGUAACUACUGGAAACGGUAGCUAAUACCGCAUAACGUCGCGAGACCAAAGAGGGGGACCUUAGGGCCUCUUGCCAUCGGAUGUGCCCAGAUGGGAUUAGCUAGUAGGUGGGGUAACGGCUCACCUAGGCGACGAUCCCUAGCUGGUCUGAGAGGAUGACCAGCCACACUGGAACUGAGACACGGUCCAG